Long non-coding RNA from Vicia villosa (hairy vetch), 766 nucleotides. RefSeq lists it as uncharacterized. The record is from RefSeq and is a predicted model, not a curated record. The transcript has 3 exons. NCBI's taxonomy places the organism in Eukaryota, Viridiplantae, Streptophyta, Magnoliopsida, Fabales, Fabaceae.
GGUCCGUUGAGGAUCAACGACGGACAGGUGCUCAAUGUUGUGACGUUAUCGUGUUGAUUCGAAGCAAAGAGCCAAGGUGAUAACGCCGUGACGAUGCGAGUGAACUUGUAGAUUUGGUCUUGAAGGAUCAAUGCGUUUCUGGAAAUUGCCGUGGAGGAAUUGAACUCGCAGGUAUUGCGAAGGUAACGUUGACACGGAGAUGAGAUUAAAGAUUCAAUCGGAACCGAAUUCCUUCAUGUUACUGUUAAGAUCUUCUUCUCUUGAAAUUCUGCCGUGAGCUUUAUCCUGCAAUUUUCUGUUUCUUGAAUUUGUUGCAGGUUGGUGUAUGGUGAUGAAGGUGACGAAGGUUCGAUGAUUUUUGCAGUGGAUUCGGUUUUCUGUUAUGUAUCGUGAGAGAGAAAUUGAAGAUGAUGAUUGGAGGUAGAAGUGGAAGGUUCUGGUGGAGAGUUGAAGAUGAAUGAAGAGAAAAAAGGGUGGUUGAUGCGUGAAGAUUAGGGAGGUUCAGAGAUGAAGAGAGAGUGGUGAGAAGUGGUGGAUCUGAAUUCAGAGAGUGAGAAAAUGAGAGAUGAAGAUGGUGGUGGAAGAUUGAAAAAAUGGAGGAGAAGCUGAAUGAUGAUGAUGAGUCCAGUUAUAUAGGGUGCAGCAAGUGAUUGAAAUGGAGUUGAAGUGGAAUCCUUCGAAUACUUCAAUGAAGUUCCUCUUCUUUCUCGAGAUUCAAAUAUGUCUUUACUUUCUUCAAAGUGUUGGUACUUUUAAUGACUUGUAA